Non-coding RNA from Podarcis lilfordi (Lilford's wall lizard), 2611 nucleotides. NCBI's taxonomy places the organism in Eukaryota, Metazoa, Chordata, Lepidosauria, Squamata, Lacertidae. The record is from the annotation of a GenBank genome assembly.
GGAAGAGUCGGUGGAAGAAGAUUGGAAGAAAUUUAAAGACUAUUUACAGAAAUAUUGUAAAAUUAAUGAAUGAUAGAAUGAUGUUGGAUAGUAAUUAAGCGGUUUCUAGCUGUAAUGCUUUAAGAGAAUAUGAAAAAAGGGUUAUAAAUGGGUUAAAAUCUAAUGGUAAGGAUUUGCUGAACCAAUAAAUUGAAGUGGAAUACAAAAAAGGGAGGUACGAGGAGGUCCGGGAAACAAGCUAAAGGAAAAUAAGUAACUGAAAAUAUGUGUGUUUUUAACUGUUUUUAUUUUGUAUUUUUCUCUUUUCUUUUUCAUUUCUAUUGUAAUAUUUUUAAAAAAACCUUUAAAAAUACAUUUCUUUAUUUUCCCCUUCUUUUUAAUCUUCUCUAGUCCCUUAAUUAAUUUAAUUUCCCUUUUUUUCUGUUUGAUUUCCCACCCCACCCCUUACCCUGCCCUGUGGGAAGAUCCUCCCUGCACCUGUGAGCGCUGCCUGUGCAUCAUCCUCCUUGGCUUGCCUUUCCCAAUAGGGAGAGAGCCCCCAUUAGGGGCUUUCUUUUGCAGAAAGGUUUUCCCCAUUUUCGCCUGUUUAAUUGUGGGGCUAGUCAGGGCUGCUCCCAGCUUACCUGGAAUCACUUUCAUUUAUAGUAUCCCCAUAGGUUGGCUUUAUUUUGGGUGCGUGCAGUGCUGUUGGCCGAGUUUUAAUCUAGCCUUGGGCGGGAGCACUGUUUUGAGUUCCUUUAAUAUUGCAAUGAGACAAAAAAGGCAGAGAGCAGACGCAGGGAGGCCAUCACGGCCUGCACGGCCUGCACAUAUCAUUCAAGCCUAAGCCUGCUACAGUUAGCAGUACAGUGAAUUGUUAAGUUUCUGUGACAUGUGACUCAUUCUCUCUAUAAGAAUGUAUCUGUUGUUUGCAGGCUCACUUGUUGCUAAUGUAUAUCUGAGGCAGACAGAGUGGAGCCAGAGGCUCUCUGUGCCUCCAAUGAGCACUCUUUGUAUGCUCUUUAACUAUGCUGUUUCUGAACAAGUUUAUUUUCUUCAAGUUUGUUUUCCCUGAUAGUGGCGACUGCCAUUUUAGAGACAAGCCAUUGUGGCUUAGUGGCUAGAGUACAGGACUAGGACCUGGGAGACAGGGUUCAUAUCCCUCACUUAGCCAUUGUUAUAACAAGGCAAAACAAGCUGCUCCUUUUGGACUAUUUUGUUGCUGGGUAGUCUGGCCCAUUUGUGAUAUUGCUCCCAAAAAGAACUUUGGGUUUCUUGAGGAGGUGCUUCCCUCUAAAGGGCAAGCAGGGGUACCUGGACAGGAAGGGGGGCUGCCUCGAGUUUGUUAUCUCAUUGGAAACAUUUAUGUCUGGCCUAGCAGGUGAUCCUAGGGCUUGGCCCGCUUGGCCCUAGAAUUUGAUGGCCUCUGGCAGCGUUUCUGGCCUGAAUAGCGUCCCCAUGUGGUGCACAAAGCAUUGGUUUCACCUGUUCCUCACAUUGUUUAGGUUUUUUCUUUUUGCAGACUAUGACAGGGCCUUUGCAGAUGCCUCCAGAGCUUGCCUCUCCUGCAGAGGAUGACUUGUUGAUGCCCCAGGUGCCUUCUUCGGGAAGGAAGCGUCUUCAGAGGCAGGAAAAAGCGGAGCAGGGAUGAUGCUUACACCUCCUUGCAGGUAAAUCAUCACUGGGCUCUGAUGAUGAUUCAGACAUCACCUUGGACCUCUCCAGGGGUCAGGGUGAGGCUGUUCCAGGUCUUUAGGGAUCAUCCUGGAUAGCUCAGCUGGUCAGCGUAUGGUGCCGGUAAUGCCUAGGUUGCAGGAUUGGUCCCUGUAUGGGACAGCUGCAUGCUCCCUCAUCACUUUACCCGGACACUGAGGUCCAGCGCCGAGGGCCUUUCUGGUGGUUCCCUCACUGUGAGAAGCCAAGUUACAGGGAACCAGGUGGAGGGCCUUCUCGGAAGUGGCACCUGCCCUGUGGUACACCCUCCCACCAGAUGUCUACUACCAGACUUUUAGAAGACAUCUAAGGCAGCCCUGUUUAGGGAAGCUUUUAAUGUUUGAUGCAUUACUGUAUUUUAAUAUUUUGUUGGAAGCUGCCCAGAGUGGCUGGGGAAGCCCAGCCAGAUGGGUGGGGUACAAAUAGAUUAUGAUGAUGAUGAUGAUGAUGAUGAUGAUGGUAUUGUGGGAGAGUGGACUAGAUGAUCCUAGGAGUCCCUUCCAACCCCACUAUUCUAUAAGUGGUAAUUCACUAUGAUGGGAAUGUUAGACGCAGGGCUGCCAUCAUCCCCUUAGCUCGCUAGGAUCGCAGGGACGGGGACAUGUGGACCACUUGCGCAGCUCCACAUUUCAAAUGGAAAUUCCCUGAGCAGUAGAACCUGAAGCUGGUAUGCAGGAAGCUGGCCCGGUGGCAGCUUUGUUGGGACUUCAAUCAAAACAGUAAUAAUCAAAACAGUAAUAAUAAAAAAAAUGUAAUAAGAAAUACAUAAUAAAAAACCGGUUCUCAAAAGGAAGACAACUUUCACCUGGGAGCCUUCCUCUCCUCUUCCCAUCCCACCCAGGCUCAUCUUCACUUUCUUGCCUCUCUCUGCUUUCCAUCUUGUAUCUGCCACUUUCAUGUGAGUACAGUCCUUGAUCCC